Molecule: small nucleolar RNA, 102 nt
Organism: Macadamia integrifolia
Lineage: Eukaryota; Viridiplantae; Streptophyta; Magnoliopsida; Proteales; Proteaceae
Source: RefSeq, a predicted model, not a curated record
AUUCCAUGGUGAGGGCAUUCCUGAAGGAGGUCCUUAAAUUUCUCCGUUGGAGAACGACUCACUAGGUUUCUGUCUGAAUUGAAGAAUGUCACUCCUGAGUUU